AUGAGUGAUGCCAGACCACCUGAUAAAGAGGAAUUUUUUGACCACAUCCUUGUCAGUGUAGGAGUGUCAGCUACUCUUCAUGCAUUCAAUUUCAUUUCUAUGGAUGCUAUGGGCACCUACUACAAGGACUGCCGGAUUUGGCAAAGGUACCAGAGAAGACUGGGAUGA
This 168-nucleotide long non-coding RNA is filed under the name Anser brachyrhynchus (Pink-footed goose). RNAcentral describes it as "lncRNA (ENSABRG00000000016.1)". The record is from RNAcentral. Lineage: Eukaryota; Metazoa; Chordata; Aves; Anseriformes; Anatidae.